UGGGGAAUAUUGCACAAUGGGCGAAAGCCUGAUGCAGCAACGCCGCGUGCGGGAUGACGGCCUUCGGGUUGUAAACCGCUUUCAGCAGGGACGAAGGUUUUCUGACGGUACCUGCAGAAGAAGCACCGGCUAACUACGUGCCAGCAGCCGCGGUGAUACGUAGGGUGCGAGCGUUGUCCGGAAUUAUUGGGCGUAAAGAGCUUGUAGGCGGUCCGUUGCGUCGGAAGUGAAAACUCAGGGCUUAACCCUGAGCCUGCUUUCGAUACGGGCGGACUUGAGGGAUGUAGGGGAGAACGGAAUUCCUGGUGGAGCGGUGGAAUGCGCAGAUAUCAGGAGGAACACCAGUGGCGAAGGCGGUUCUCUGGACAUUUCCUGACGCUGAGAAGCGAAAGCGUGGGGAGCAAACAGGCUUAGAUACCCUGGUAGUCCACGCCGUAAACGGUGGGCACUAGGUGUGGGACCCAUUCCACGGGUUCCGUGCCGUAGCUAACGCAUUAAGUGCCCCGCCUGGGGAGUACGGCCGCAAGGCUAAAACUCAAAUGAAUUGACGGGGUCAUGAGCUGUUU
Molecule: ribosomal RNA, 566 nt
Filed under: uncultured bacterium
Lineage: Bacteria
Description: partial 16S ribosomal RNA
Rfam family: Bacterial small subunit ribosomal RNA
Source: RNAcentral